AAGGCCACAGGAGAUGCAGGCAGUGGCCCAGGAGAAGCAGUCUGCCCUGGCUGGAGCGGGCAAAUAGUGCCUGCCCCUUUUCCUUGUGCUGCAUCUCUCCCCUGCAGGCUGGUACAGAAGGCAGAGCUGGUACGGCUAUCCCAGACACUGAGCCUGGUGCCCCGACUGCACUGGCUACUGGUGGAGGAUGCUGAGGGUCCCACCCCGCUCGUCUCAGGGCUGCUGGCUGCCUCUGGCCUCCUCUUCACACACCUGGUAGUCCUCACGCCCAAAGCCCAGCGGCUUCGGGAGGGCGAGCCUGGCUGGGUUCAUCCCCGUGGUGUCGAGCAGCGGAACAAGGCUCUGGACUGGCUCCGGGGCAGAGGGGGUGCUGUGGGUGGGGAGAAGGACCCACCACCACCAGGGACCCAAGGAGUCGUCUACUUUGCUGACGAUGACAACACCUACAGCCGGGAGCUGUUUGAGGAGAUGCGCUGGACCCGUGGUGUCUCAGUGUGGCCUGUGGGGCUGGUGGGCGGCCUGCGAUUCGAGGGCCCUCAGGUACAGGACGGCCGGGUAGUGGGCUUCCACACAGCA
Molecule: small RNA, 576 nt
Filed under: Pongo abelii (Sumatran orangutan)
Lineage: Eukaryota; Metazoa; Chordata; Mammalia; Primates; Hominidae
Description: retained intron
Source: RNAcentral